GCCCCUGUAGUUUAAUGGUUAUGACGCCGGACUUCUAAUCCGGAGGCUGCGGGUUCGAGUCCCGCCAGGGGUU
This 73-nucleotide transfer RNA is filed under the name Cylindrobasidium torrendii FP15055 ss-10. RNAcentral's name for it is "tRNA-Arg (TCT) (tRNA-Arg-TCT-1-1)". It matches the Rfam family "tRNA". Rfam says of the family: Transfer RNA (tRNA) molecules are approximately 80 nucleotides in length. Their secondary structure includes four short double-helical elements and three loops (D, anti-codon, and T loops). Further hydrogen bonds mediate the characteristic L-shaped molecular structure. tRNAs have two regions of fundamental functional importance: the anti-codon, which is responsible for specific mRNA codon recognition, and the 3' end, to which the tRNAs corresponding amino acid is attached (by aminoacyl-tRNA synthetases). tRNAs cope with the degeneracy of the genetic code in two manners: having more than one tRNA (with a specific anti-codon) for a particular amino acid; and 'wobble' base-pairing, i.e. permitting non-standard base-pairing at the 3rd anti-codon position. The record is from RNAcentral. Lineage: Eukaryota; Fungi; Basidiomycota; Agaricomycetes; Agaricales; Physalacriaceae.